RNAcentral lists this small nuclear RNA (119 nucleotides) under Trichobilharzia regenti. RNAcentral's name for it is "U5 spliceosomal RNA". It matches the Rfam family "U5 spliceosomal RNA". Rfam says of the family: U5 RNA is a component of both types of known spliceosome. The precise function of this molecule is unknown, though it is known that the 5' loop is required for splice site selection and p220 binding, and that both the 3' stem-loop and the Sm site are important for Sm protein binding and cap methylation. Lineage: Eukaryota; Metazoa; Platyhelminthes; Trematoda; Strigeidida; Schistosomatidae. The record is from Rfam by way of RNAcentral.
UAACUCUGGUCUCUCCUCAUUUGCGGAUAAAUCUUUCGCUUUUCACUAAAGAUUUCCGUGGGAAGGCACACUACAAUGAGUCUUGCCUCAUUUUAUUCAGCUCUGUCUUCAGAUGGAGC